Molecule: long non-coding RNA, 3019 nt
Filed under: Homo sapiens (human)
Lineage: Eukaryota; Metazoa; Chordata; Mammalia; Primates; Hominidae
Description: HSALNT0113580
Source: RNAcentral
ACAUAGAUAGAUACAUAGAUAGAUAGAUGAUAGCAAAGAAAGGUAACAUAGGCCAUACACUCAACAAGAGUCAGGGAAGGUAGGUAUUAACACAACUCACAGGUGGGAGAAAUGACUGUGGAUUAGCAAGGUCCAAGAAGGCUUCAGAAGGAAGAUUUGGACUUCAGCAGGGCCUGAAGAAUGGGUAGCACUUACAUAAGCAGAGAGGAGAAAGGAAGGCAUUGCAGGCAGGAGGCAUGCUUGUAACCAAAGGCCUGAGAUUGCCAAUGGUUUUUUGGGGGAGGAAACAGAGUGAACAGAGUAUGAUAAGAGAUAAGGCUGAAAGGUAGGUUGUGUUCUAAGGCAAAAUGGCAUGCAGUCAGUGUGCCCGUCAAGCCCUGCAGGUUGUCUAUAGCCAGGCCCACUCUGAUUGGCCAAUACAUGAGCCACUUCAGGUAUUAAAUACUAUCACCCCUGGGGGUAAGGUUGUCUGGGCACAGAGGCCAGAGCAAGCUCAGUAUAGGGAAUGCCAAGUUAAGGAGUUCAGAUCUCUAUCUUGUCAACAUUAGGGAGCCAGUUAAGGGUAUUUAAACAGAUGACUAACAUGCUAAAAGUGAGUAUAAUGAGAUUAUUGAGCAGUGGGAUGCAGAAUGCAUGGGGGAAAAGUGGCCACAGGGUGGAAAAUUAAUUAGGGGGCUGUUAUGGUAGUUCAGGGUGAAGUAAUAAUAGCCUAGAAGAAGGUGGUGACAAUAGAAAGAGAAAACAGGCCCUGAAUGUGCAGGAAUCAUCUAGUAAAAGUUCCACUUCUUUCUUUCUGCAGGCCCAAGCCUUGCACAGUGCCCAACACUAAGUAAACACAUGUGUUUAUCAACUAUAAGGAACUAUGGAAACAUUGUCAGGGAUACAAAGAGCACGAAAACAACUUUGGGAUCCUGACCAGAAUGAAGAGAAGAGAAGAGAAGAGGUCUCAGAUUGCAUGCUUGGUAGUAAGGGGAGAAUCCUAAUGAUGAGCAGCAUGUGAUCAAGCGAUUCCUUUUCCUUCAAGCUGAGGUUGAAGUUCAGUAGCGAAGGAAGAAGGAACAGGCAGCUACAGCCCUCUGGUCAGCAGCACCAACUUUCUCACGGAGUUAAAUUAGUUUGGGUUAUGGAGAGCCUGAAUCUUUAGCCCAGGAGAGGUGAAAGUGAAUGAGGGAGAGGAAGGCGGUGAGAGACAAAUGGCAAAGGUAAAAGUGGGCUGGGUGCAGUGGCUCACAACUGUAAUCCCAGCACUUUGGGAGGCUGAGGCAGGAGGAUCAAGCGCUUGAGCCUAGGAGUUUGAGACCAGCUUGGGCAAUAUGGUGAGACCUCUUCUCAACAAAAUAUUUAAAAAUUAACUGGGCAUGGAGGUGCAUGCCUGUAGUUCUAGCUACUUGGGAGGCUGAGAUGGAAAAAUCACUUAAGCCUGGGAGGUGGAGACUACAAUGAACUGUGAUGGUGCCACUGGACUCCAGCCUGAGCAAUAGAGGGAGACCCUGUCUCAAAAAUAUACAUAUUUUUUUAUUUUUAAAAAAGGUAAAAGUGUAUCAAAGCAGUCUGCCUUCACUCUGAUACUGAGAUUAUCAACCAGUGCUCUGCAGACCUUCCAUGAAAACUACUGUUAAAGAUGCAGAUUGUUAGGCCUCAUCUCAAACCUACUGAAUCAUGGUCUCUAGGGGGACAGCCUGGGACUGUGCAUCUUUCAUGGGUACACCCAGCAAUUCUGAUACACUCGAAAGCAAGUUUGUCUAACCUGUGACCCGCAGGCUGCAUAUAGCCAAGGACAGCUUUGAAUGCAGCCCAACGCAAAUUUGUGAACUUUCUUAAAACAUUAUGAGUUUUUUUGUGGUAUUUCUUUAAGCUCAUCAGCUAUCGUUAGUGUUAGUAUAUUUCAUGUGUGGCCCUUCUUCCAAUGUGGCCCAGGGAAGCCAAAAGAUUGGACACUUGGGCUCUAAAGAUUGAGGAUCACUGCUCUAGUGUUGGCCAACUACUCUAGUGUUGGCCUGCAGACUCAAUACAGCCUUUGAGCUAAAAACGGUUUUUACAUUUUUAAAGGGUUGUAAAAAAAGACAAAAAGAAAGACAGACAAGGAAAGACACAGAAGAAUAUACAACAUAGCCUACAAAGCAUUUACUAUCUGGUCUUUUACAAAAGAGUUUUCUGACCCCUUUCUAGUGCACUGCAAAUGAAAGGCUGUACCCAAAUUUAGCUCCAGUGCAGCCCUGCCACAGCUGAAAUAACUGAUGUAGCAAGCAGAUCUUAAAAAAAAAAGUGAUGAAAUGUGUAAAGUUGUCAUCUAAAAAUACUUUUGUAAUAAUUAUAAAUGGAGAGAGAAAAUGUAUAAAUACAAACAUUCUGUAAUGAGUUUAAAAAUAUAGUUUCAUCCAUACAAGAAUUUUGAUAACUCCAUUUGAUUCUGUUUUUCCAUAAGCUUAUCAGAUAGCAAUAUAUCCAACAUUAGCCUAAUAAAAUUACUGCAUGUGAAUUCUUUAUUGGACUAUGCAUAUUCCCAAACAUAUUAUUGUCAUACAACUGAGGGAAAAAUGUAAAACUAUAUCUGGGAAAUGAAAAAUUAUAAAUUCUCAAAAUGAUACAUAGGAAAAUGAUUUACAAAGAAAAAAAGGAAAACUGAACUUAGUAUCUUUCUACUUUAAAGGGGUUCAAGAACUUAGGAGUAGUUACACACCUCCUAAAAUCUUGAAAAAGAGGCUAUGAACUCACUUCACAAAGGGUUCAGAUACUCACAUUGUGUCCAAGAGACUCAGCAAUUGGGAAUCUUGCCAGUUAGAUUCAUAAAGCAAUCCGAAAGCCAGAAUGCAAUUUCUUUAGGGGUGGUUUCUAGAUGUUUAUUCUAGAUAUUUUUAAAAGAUUUUGUUUAUUUUUGAUGUGAAGAAAGAAAAUUAUUAUAGAAUCUAGAAAUAAAUAUUGGCUUUAAAAGUAUUAAUUUGCCUUGUCCUUUGUAAUUGUGAUCCGAAAUAUCUCACAAUAAUUUUGUUUCAGUGUUAUUUUCUUCUCAGGAGGAAAG